This 460-nucleotide ribosomal RNA is filed under the name uncultured bacterium. Its description in RNAcentral is "partial 16S ribosomal RNA". It matches the Rfam family "Bacterial small subunit ribosomal RNA", at positions 338 to 795 of the family's 1533-position model. The record is from RNAcentral.
CCUACGGGAGGCAGCAGUGAGGAAUAUUGGUCAAUGGACGAGAGUCUGAACCAGCCAAGUAGCGUGAAGGAUGACUGCCCUAUGGGUUGUAAACUUCUUUUAUAUGGGAAUAAAACGUUCCACGUGUGGGAUUUUGUAUGUACCAUAUGAAUAAGGAUCGUCUAACUCCGUGCCAGCAGCCGCGGUAAUACGGAGGAUCCGAGCGUUAUCCGGAUUUAUUGGGUUUAAAGGGAGCGUAGGUGGAUUGUUAAGUCAGUUGUGAAAGUGUGCGGCUCAACCGUAAAAUUGCAGUUGAAACUGGCAGUCUUGAGUACAGUAGAGGUGGGCGGAAUUCGUGGUGUAGCGGUGAAAUGCUUAGAUAUCACGAAGAACUCCGAUUGCGAAGGCAGUUCACUGGACUGCAACUGACACUGAGGCUCGAAAGUGUGGGUAUCAAACAGGAUUAGAUACCCUAGUAGUC